Long non-coding RNA from Thamnophis elegans (Western terrestrial garter snake), 709 nucleotides. RefSeq lists it as uncharacterized. The record is from RefSeq and is a predicted model, not a curated record. NCBI's taxonomy places the organism in Eukaryota, Metazoa, Chordata, Lepidosauria, Squamata, Natricidae. The transcript is spliced from 4 exons.
AGAUAGUUGGGUGCAAAGGGAACAAAGUACAGAGACUAAUAGCCUUCCUCCAAGACUCUACUCUAAUGAAACGCCAAGGCAACAAUCCUACAAGGUUGACUAGCAUUACUUGGAGAAAAUGGCAGCAGAGUCUGGUCUCUCAGAUUUUUCAGCCUGGCAUUUCUAGCCCUACACAGAGUACAAUUCUUCAUACUGGAGAUCUUUCCAGAAGUAAGCCCAACUGAGUUCCUUCAACUUUAAGGGCUGAAAUAAUAGGACCCCACUGCCAAACCAGCGUUAACUCACAAAAUUAGGAACAAUUAUUUUCCCUGUUAAAGGUAAGCGGCACUCUUUCCUCCUUGGAAAUUCUCUUAAGAGUCAGGGUGGCGCUGUGGUUAAGAUUAAGAUGCUGAGCUAGUAUCAAGAAGAGCCAGGAUCAAGUCUGUCUACAUCCAUGGUAGCUUUCUGCAAACAAUUGGGCUGAUCAUUAGCUCUUGACCUACUUCAAUGAGCUUUUGCUGUGAUAAAGAAAAAAGGCAGAAGGAUAUAGCUGUGAUAAAGAAACGAAGGCAGAGUGAUUUCCCAAGCAACGGUCUAAUAGUAAUCUAACAACUGGCGUCAAAGCCUGCCAAGGAUGUCGCUUUCACAGAAACAUUUAAUCCAGUGUUUUUUAAUCUCAGCAACUUUAAGAAGUGUGGGUAUCAACCCAACCAGGCUGGGGGAAUUCUGG